GGAAUUCGACGGGGGCCCGCACAAGCGGAGGAGCAUGUGGUUUAAUUCGAUGAUACGCGAGGAACCUUACCUGGGCUCAAAUGGUAUGUUGACGUAUUCUGAAAGGGAUACUUCUUCGGACAAUAUACAAGGUGCUGCAUGGUUGUCGUCAGCUCGUGCCGUGAGGUGUCGGGUUAAGUCCCAUAACGAGCGCAACCCCUAUCAUUAGUUGCCAUCAGGUCAAGCUGGGGACUCUAAUGAAACUGCCUACGCAAGUAGUGAGGAAGGUGGGGAUGACGUCAAAUCAGCACGGCCCUUACGUCCAGGGCUACACACGUGCUACAAUGGCCGAUACAGAGGGCAGCUACCUGGUGACAGGAUGCAAAUCUCCAAAGUCGGUCUCAGUUCGGAUCGGAGUCUGCAACCCGACUCCGUGAAGUUGGAUUCGCUAGUAAUCGCGCAUCAGCCAUGGCGCGGUGAAUACGUUCCCGGGCCUU
This 476-nucleotide ribosomal RNA is filed under the name uncultured Sphingobacteriales bacterium. Its description in RNAcentral is "bacterial SSU rRNA". It matches the Rfam family "Bacterial small subunit ribosomal RNA", at positions 906 to 1382 of the family's 1533-position model. The record is from RNAcentral. Lineage: Bacteria; Pseudomonadati; Bacteroidota; Sphingobacteriia; Sphingobacteriales.